Molecule: long non-coding RNA, 1192 nt
Organism: Nicotiana tabacum (common tobacco)
Lineage: Eukaryota; Viridiplantae; Streptophyta; Magnoliopsida; Solanales; Solanaceae
Source: RefSeq, a predicted model, not a curated record
ACCCUAAUGUAACUACACCCAAACGGUGCCCCCCCCUCUUCACACGCUUCUGCCCGUCACCAACACCCCAAAACCCGCCGGAAAAGUCAAUUUUCCGGCAUUCCACUUAAGCCCUGGUCCCCCCUCAUCAUUAUAACCCGAUUCUACGCGUUUUUCUCUCAUCACACAUGCUUUUCGCAAUUGUUUGAAGAAUCUGGGUCAUUCAAUGAAUGAUAGUUUAAUGGGGGCCGUAAGAUCGAAAUCUUUGGAUUCUAGGCGUCCAUUUGCCUAAAAUCCAUUUGUACGACAGGUUUUUUGGAAUUUUGGAGUUUUUUUCUAAUUUGGAGAUAAAAAAUCGAUUUCUUGGUGAAGAAGCAUAGGAGGUUCGAGACCCCCUAUAUAUUGGGAUGAUUUCUCAGAUUUUGGGUUCGAGAGGAGACAAAAAUUUGGAAAAAAAAAACUUGGAGAAAAAUUAGGGUUCCUUUGAGUUUUCAGAUUUUUACGUUUGGUUUGAAUUCCAGAAAAACAAAAAAAAAUAAAAAAAAUAGUUUCGGUCUAGACUCUUGGUCAAAUUUUGUUUCUAGAUUUCGAAAUCAGGAAAAUACCAAAAAAAAUACAAUAUAGUUCUGCCUUCCUCAGUUUUAAUUUCGGAUUUGGAAUUCAACUAUGGAGUUUGAUCGAGGUUUGCCGUGGAGUUGAAGCAGCCGUCCGAGAUCUGUUCGUAGUUCGCAGUCACGUUCGAUUUCUGUGGUGAUUUUAUCUUUUAGAGUUGGUCGUGUACUCGCUGUUUUGUCCGACGUUGUUAAAGUGAUUCUUCUCCAACAGGUAUGGACCCGCUGAUUCGAUCCAAAGUGCUGAUGGUAGUAAAGAUUCCUAGGAAAUUAAGCAAGUGGUGGAAAAUGUUUUCGUUGUUAGAGCAGCAUGAGUUAAUGCAGAAAUUGGGCACCCUCACUUCCCUUCUUGAUAUCACACCUUUCCCAGACUUAGCGGAGGCGAUGCUGACUUAUUGGGAUUCACAAAAUUUGAUUUUCAGAUUUGAAGAGUGUGAGAUGACCCCUACCUUGGCAAAAAUGUCUAGUCUCACUCGUUUAAACUAUAUAGGCAAGGACAUGAUACUUCCCUGAGACCAUUCUAGGACAAGAUUCCUCAGCGACCUGGGCCUGAAAGAUAACAAACAUUUAAAAUGCCUCGAGCAGUCCUGGAUAUCCUUGGA